AUGUGUACUCUGUUUACAUUACAGUUGUUUAUUAGUUUACUCGUUUGUUUUGCGACUGGUGAAAUGCCGGCAUAUAUAUAUUUUCAACAUUUGACAUAACCCUGUAUGUUUUGCAGGGACAACCGAGGACGUGCAUUUCUCAGCACCCAGUCAACUGCCAAAAGUGACUCAAACACAGGCCACCAGUGGAACUCGGCUGUACCACUGCAGUGCUGCGGAAAUUGCCUUCACCAGCGGCUUUGCAACAGCUGUUUCACAGCAUGUCGGAGACAAUGCCUACGAAAUUAUUGGCCCUGAUGAUGAGAGCCCUCAAAGGGCAAACGACAUCUCUGUUGCAGAAGUGAAACCGAUACCACCUGAAGUUACCAUGACAGGUGGCACGGCAGCAAUAGAUACAGAGACUGCCAUGUCUACUGCAGCUGCAACAGUGUACGAGGCAAGCAGCAGCGCGUCAGCAUCAGCAGCAGUGUCAGAAGGAACCACACCAGGCCUGGUAGAGCAACAUGUGUGCUAUCACUGUGACUUUUUGUAGUGCAUACAACUCAUUUGCUCAACAUACAAAAGCUUUUCACCACGACUGUGAGCCAGUGUUAUUGUGCAGCAAGUGCAAGACUAAGUUAGGUGUUAUAACACAGUACAAGCAUCACUUUAAUAUAUGCAAAUGCAAACAUAUUACAGUUGUUGCCUCCCCAGCCAGCCCACAUAGUGACAACAAUGUGGAACACAUGGUGGGACACACCUCUCCCCCAUUACAAGAUAGUAGAGACUGUCAGUGUUGUUGCUAGAUUGACUGGUCUUUGUAGGCAACUAGAAGGACAACACAGGUGUCAUAAGAUUGUUGUUGAUGUUGUUGUUGAAGAGGUAAAAAAGAAGUUUGAUGCAGCUGAAGUGCCAACUGAUAUUGAGCAAAUCAAAAGCAACCACCUGAGAAAGCAACACUAUCGAAAUUUGGGUAUCUAUGUGCCGCCAACUCUGGUAAGAAUGGCAUAGGACAGAAGUGUGAUGAAAAUCACACAGACACUGCUGUUGCAUCACUGGCCACAGUGAGCAGCGACUUGUAGGGCAAGAGAGUCAACUGAAACUAACAUUAUGAUAUAGUGUCAUGCUUCCAUGUGACCACUUUUCAAGUUAUUUUGCAAGAUACAGCUCAACCUCCAGAAACGAGACUGCAACUUGUCUGUAAAAAAGCUUUCACAAAAAAUUAUUCAUAACACUAUUAACAUAGCAGUAUCUUUUUUUUUUUGUGUCGGUUCGAGGUUCCCGGCUGUCCAUUAAUGCAAAAAUUGAGGAAAAAAAGAACAUGUGUCCUACUUACACCUUUUUAACAAGUACGAGGGGGACAGAACUUUUCUAGUCAUGCAUCUUCAUCAUACUAUCAAGUUCUUAAAUGCCUUUUAUAAUUAUUAUUACCAGUUAUAUCUGAGUGCAUUGUAUGCAUGUAGCAGGUGUAAAAUCAGGGCAGUUGGAUCAGAUGCCUUAUCUGCAAGCGAGCCCUAUAUUCAAGAAAUUUGAAUUAAAAUAGUUACGUUAGAGACGCAGUCUUUCAGCACUUUAUUGCCUGUGGUUUAAGCAUUGCUCAAUACUUUUGUGGGUGGCAAUUUCAACCGGCACAGCACUGCGCUUUGCCACAGUCACAUUUGUCUUCAAAGCGGUGUUUACCAUUUGUGUUGAUCUGUUUGUGUAUGCAUAGAGCAAGUUUUUAAUUUAUAUUUUUCUGCAUUCUUGUGCUUGCACUAAGCUUGUAUAAGGCAGUUACAAAAUGUGCGGCACUAUAACGAACUGUUCUGUUGAGCUUACACUUGCAAAUAAUCGUGUUCAGAUGGCCGCACUUCUAUGCGGGUGCACCGCUAGCUUUGUGUAUGUUCUCAUGUUUGUAUAAAGCUUAUAUAAGCUAGUUAGAAAAUGUAUGUCACUAAGCAUUGUGAUAUUCUUUAAAGAACUGCUUGGUUGGUUUUACACUUGUGAAUUAGUAUUGAGGCGGUGGUAUUCCCAUGUAUGCCCACUGCUAGCUUUCUGUGUCCUCACGUGUUUGUAUUAAGUUUCUACGAGGGAGUUACAGCAUGUACGUCACUAAGCACUGUGAUAUUUUUUAAUGAACUGCUUUGUUGGUUUUACACCUGUGAGUAAUAGUACUCGGGUGGCACUAGUCAUGUGUAGGUACACAGGGACCAUUUGUAUACAUUAUGCUCAUGUAAAGCAGUUACAAAGUGUAUGUCACUAAUUACUGUGAUAUUUGUUGAAUUGCUGUGAUGGUUUUACACAUGUGAAUAAUAGUGGUCAGGACACAGUACUUGCGGUGUAUAGUUGAAUUUAUACACUGCCAAGACAUGGGCUG
Molecule: long non-coding RNA, 2335 nt
Filed under: Dermacentor andersoni
Lineage: Eukaryota; Metazoa; Arthropoda; Arachnida; Ixodida; Ixodidae
Description: uncharacterized LOC126523464
Source: RNAcentral